UGUGACCUUACAUAGAGGCUCCAGAUCAAAUCUAGGGGGUGCUCGGCCGCGCUGUUCAGGCACUUGAAGACGGAAAAAGCAACGAAGAAACCACGCGGAAGGUAGUUAUAUGUCAACAAGAAAUAAGUUGACAAAUGCCUGUUUUAGUGACUAUCUUUUUUGCUUUAAUUUCCGUUUUCCCGUUUUGUAUCGCCGAGGAGUGCAAAGGUCGAUUAAAGACCCGAAUGUCCAGUGUUGAAAGGAGGCGAUACAAAAUAUCCAAGGUUGAGCUGAUUGUCUAUUGAGGUCUAUUGCUUAUUAGGAACUCCAACGAUCACAAACAAAUUAGCCAGCAUACAACAGUUAAACCAAAAAUCAACAGAACUGUCUUUCCAGCGGUCAGCAAAAUGAAUGUCCUCUUGGAAACCUUAGUUCAUUGUAAUGUCCAUCUAUUACAACAUAGAGGCAUUUGUCAGACCGUUCAUCUGACUCGAGAAGAAAAAUAUCACUGGGGAAAUCGUCCUGAUCACCGGGGCGGGCAGCGGCAUUGGCCGGCUCAUGGCAGAGAAGUUUGCCCCCCCUGGGCGUCUCUGGUUCUGUGGGAUGUCAACCAGGAGGGCAUGAAGGAGACUGCAAGACUAGUGAAGGAGAAAGGGUCCACCACUACCUGUGUGACUGCAGUGACAAGGCUAAAGUCUACCGAGUGGCUGACAAGUAAACUCUCUCACGUCAUCCCGCUCCUCCGCCUACUCCACUGGCUUCCAGUUGAAGCUCGCAUCUGCUACAAGACCAUGGUGCUUGCCUACGGAGCUGUGAGGGGAACGGCACCUCCGUACCUUCAGGCUCUGAUCAGUCCCUACACCCAAAGAAGGGCACUGCGUUCAUCCACCUCUGGCCUGCUCGCCUCCCUACCUCUGCGGAAGCACAGUUCCCGCUCAGCCCAGUCAAAACUGUUCGCUGCUCUGGCACCCCAAUGGUGGAACAAGCUCCCUCACGACGCCAGGACAGCGGAGUCAAUCACCACCUUCCGGAGACACCUGAAACCCCACCUCUUUAAGGAAUACCUGGGAUAGGAUAAAGUAAUCCUACCCACCCCCCCAAAAAAAUAUAUAGAUGUACUAUUGUAAAGUGGUUGUUCCACUGGAUAUCAUAAGGUGAAAGCACCAAUUUGUAAGUCGCUCUGGAUAAGAGCAUCUGCUAAAUGACGUAAAUGUAAAUGUAAACUGUCUGUCAAAGCAAACUGAUGUUUGGAAAAUCUAUUGUGCUGGAGGCACGUUGAAUGAAUGGGAAACGAGGGAGUAGCUGCUUACCAAAUGUCCAGUGUUGCUGAGAACGUAAGUAAAGCCACAUGACAGAUGGUGAUUCCUUGCGAAACUAGAACAUAAAAAUACCAUGGUAUUUUGGAUUUUCACAACGUAAUCCAUAGUAUGCUCCUUUGGAGGAAGGAUCGUUUACAUAUACUUGACAUUUGUAACCUAAAGCAUUACAAAACAUUUAUGGAUUUUAGAACAUUGGUGACAUUUUGGCCUUACCCAGGACUCCUUCAAGACUCCACAAUGUUUAAUCUGUUGGUGCUACAAAGCAACAAAAAAGUUGUAAUAUGAAGCUUUACCCCUUGCACUGUAAUAUGAGUAGUAUUUCGAUUUCAAUUAAAUAUUACAAAAAAUAUGAUUAUGUUACAUUUAUGAAUAUAGAAACAUGAAUAUUGAAAAUAUACUAAAAUAAAUGUACCUUUUCAAUACAUUUUUCAAAGUUAAUGCCUAUUUUAUACAGAGGAAUUGGCAUAGUUGGCAAUGCAACAAAUCACAGCACUCCUUUUACUUGCACAUAUCAUUGCACAUCCUGAAAAUCAGUAACAGGGCGACCAUUUUGAAUCCAUUUUCACAUUCACUCUGUUGUUAAUGUUUACAGAUUGGAUUAUAACUCUAAAAGUAGCAGAGAUCCCACUCUGGAACUUUGAUAUGGCAAUAGUGUGUUUAAUAAUAUAUAGAACAAUUUGCUCAAUCAAAAAAAUGUAUAUUUUCUACAUUCAUGUUUAGACUUUUCAAUAUUCAUAAAUUAAUGUAAGAAUUGUUAUUUAAAUCAAAAUACUACUCAUAUUACAGAGCAAGCAGUAAAGCUUCAGAAGACACACAUUUUUGCUUUGUAACACUUACAGAUUAUCAUUAUGGAGUCUUAAAGGACGCCUGGAUAAGGCCAAAAUGUCACAUUUGAACUUAAAUUAAUUAUUUCUCAAUUAUGCUUUAAGAUACAAAUGUCACAUAUACAGGUAACUGCCAAAAUACAGUAAACAUUUGAGUAAAUGAGGGAUACAAAGUGUAUUGAAAGCAGGUGCUUCCACACCGGUGUGGUUCAUGAGUUAACAUCCCAUCAUGCUUAGGGUCAUGUAUAAAAAUUCCAUUGUUACUGAAUAUCCCGGUAUGGCACAAGGUUGGUAUGACAAUCUUGAUACCACCCAAGCCUACAAAACACCAAAUGAUGGAACAAUGGUGUUGCAUCAACUGUAAAAACCUGUUAAAAACUCCAGGCAGUCUUUUAAGACCCGUUCAACCUGUUACCCGUGUCCAUAAGUACAUAGAAACAAUGUUAAAUAAUCCUUACCAUAACUGGAUUGCCAAGAUGUAAGAGACAAAGAUGUCAUGUGUGUUGAUUCCAACAUGUUUUGAAGUAAAGUGUUUUUAAAUGUUAAAUCCUUACGUCUAUUGACGCACCCGUGUGUCAAUCUACUGUAAGUGACAUAAUAAAAAGAAUCCCCAUCCAAAUC
Molecule: long non-coding RNA, 2743 nt
Organism: Salmo salar (Atlantic salmon)
Lineage: Eukaryota; Metazoa; Chordata; Actinopteri; Salmoniformes; Salmonidae
Source: RefSeq, a predicted model, not a curated record